Molecule: ribosomal RNA, 339 nt
Filed under: uncultured fungus
Lineage: Eukaryota; Fungi
Description: eukaryotic LSU rRNA
Rfam family: 5.8S ribosomal RNA (bases 1-71)
Source: RNAcentral
GUGAGUCAUCGAAUCUUUGAACGCACCUUGCGCCCUUUGGUAUUCCGAAGGGCAUGCCUGUUUGAGUGUCAUGAAAACAAUCAACCACGACUUGGUUUACUCCUCGUCGUGGCUUGGACUUGGGUGUUUGCUGCUGCAAAGCUGCUCGCCUUAAAAGGAUUAGCUGGACUAUAUUUUGCGGUCAGGUUUGACUCGGCGUGAUAAGUUAUUUCGCUGAGGACAUCUGUAAUGGAUGGCCUGUUUGCUCUAUGCCGGUCUGCUUUCUAACCCGUUCUCCCUCUGGAGACAAACCCUUUUAUGAUUGGCCUCAAAUCAGGUAGGACUACCCGCUGAACUUAA